This 95-nucleotide transfer RNA is filed under the name Armatimonadota bacterium. RNAcentral describes it as "Armatimonadetes bacterium (hot springs metagenome) tRNA-Ser". It matches the Rfam family "tRNA". From Rfam's summary of the family: Transfer RNA (tRNA) molecules are approximately 80 nucleotides in length. Their secondary structure includes four short double-helical elements and three loops (D, anti-codon, and T loops). Further hydrogen bonds mediate the characteristic L-shaped molecular structure. tRNAs have two regions of fundamental functional importance: the anti-codon, which is responsible for specific mRNA codon recognition, and the 3' end, to which the tRNAs corresponding amino acid is attached (by aminoacyl-tRNA synthetases). tRNAs cope with the degeneracy of the genetic code in two manners: having more than one tRNA (with a specific anti-codon) for a particular amino acid; and 'wobble' base-pairing, i.e. permitting non-standard base-pairing at the 3rd anti-codon position. Lineage: Bacteria; Bacillati; Armatimonadota. The record is from RNAcentral.
GGAGAGAUGGCUGAGUGGACGAAAGCGGCCGCCUGCUAAGCGGUUGUGGGGUUGUUAAGACUCCACCCCGGGUUCGAAUCCCGGUCUCUCCGCCA